This 67-nucleotide transfer RNA is filed under the name Loxodonta africana (African savanna elephant). It matches the Rfam family "tRNA". From Rfam's summary of the family: Transfer RNA (tRNA) molecules are approximately 80 nucleotides in length. Their secondary structure includes four short double-helical elements and three loops (D, anti-codon, and T loops). Further hydrogen bonds mediate the characteristic L-shaped molecular structure. tRNAs have two regions of fundamental functional importance: the anti-codon, which is responsible for specific mRNA codon recognition, and the 3' end, to which the tRNAs corresponding amino acid is attached (by aminoacyl-tRNA synthetases). tRNAs cope with the degeneracy of the genetic code in two manners: having more than one tRNA (with a specific anti-codon) for a particular amino acid; and 'wobble' base-pairing, i.e. permitting non-standard base-pairing at the 3rd anti-codon position. Lineage: Eukaryota; Metazoa; Chordata; Mammalia; Proboscidea; Elephantidae. The record is from Rfam by way of RNAcentral.
GGUGGCUCAGCAGUUAAGAGCUUGGCUGCUAACCAAAAGGUUGAUAGUUCAAAUCUACCAGCCACUG